This 215-nucleotide ribosomal RNA is filed under the name Vibrio sp. 10N.261.51.A7. RNAcentral's name for it is "partial 16S ribosomal RNA". It matches the Rfam family "Bacterial small subunit ribosomal RNA", at positions 1 to 211 of the family's 1533-position model. Lineage: Bacteria; Pseudomonadati; Pseudomonadota; Gammaproteobacteria; Vibrionales; Vibrionaceae. RNAcentral also lists the same sequence under 2 other names. The record is from RNAcentral.
AAAUUGAAGAGUUUGAUCAUGGCUCAGAUUGAACGCUGGCGGCAGGCCUAACACAUGCAAGUCGAGCGGAAACGACUUAACUGAACCUUCGGGGAACGUUAAGGGCGUCGAGCGGCGGACGGGUGAGUAAUGCCUAGGAAAUUGCCUUGAUGUGGGGGAUAACCAUUGGAAACGAUGGCUAAUACCGCAUAAUGCCUACGGGCCAAAGAGGGGGA